GGAGGGUUCUUGUGGCCUCUGGCGGGCCUCCAGCCAGUUAGACCAUUUGACCAGAACGUGUGCAGCUCAGCCAGCCGCAGAGCUGGAAUUUUUCAGGAGCAGGGGGAGCAUGGAGUUUGGACUUUGCUGAGCAACUGAAGUGGAGCGCAGAGCUUGCUCGCUUAGGAGAGAGCAUCAUGGAUGGCAAACAAGGGGGCAUGGAUGGGAGCAAGCCCGCGGGGCCAAGGGACUCUCCUGACAUCAGGCUUCUUUCAAACCCAUUGAUGGGCGAUGCUGUGUCUGAUUGGUCUCCUAUGCAUGAAGCUGCAAUCCACGGACAUCAGCUGUCUCUGAGGAACCUCAUCAGCCAGGGGUGGCCUGUGAACAUCAUCACGGCAGAUCAUGUUUCCCCACUCCAUGAAGCCUGUCUUGGAGGUCAUCCCUCUUGUGUAAAGAUUUUAUUAAAGCAUGGAGCUCAGGUGAAUGGUGUGACAACAGACUGGCACACUCCACUGUUUAAUGCUUGUGUCAGCGGCAGCCGGGAUUGUGUGAAUUUGCUUCUGCAGCACGGAGCCAGCGUUCAACCUGAGAGUGAUCUGGCAUCCCCCAUCCAUGAAGCUGCUAGGAGAGGCCACGUGGAGUGUGUUGACUCUCUUAUAGCUUAU
Molecule: small RNA, 644 nt
Filed under: Pongo abelii (Sumatran orangutan)
Lineage: Eukaryota; Metazoa; Chordata; Mammalia; Primates; Hominidae
Description: processed transcript
Source: RNAcentral